UUAAUGAGCUUGAAUAAGCUUUUGUCUUGAAAACAAACCAUAGAUUUAUUAAUAUAUCUAUUAACUUAA
RNAcentral lists this transfer RNA (69 nucleotides) under Primeuchroeus sp. M48. RNAcentral's name for it is "tRNA-Ser". Lineage: Eukaryota; Metazoa; Arthropoda; Insecta; Hymenoptera; Chrysididae. The record is from RNAcentral.